This 1342-nucleotide unclassified non-coding RNA is filed under the name Talaromyces pseudofuniculosus. RNAcentral's name for it is "Talaromyces sp. 13 MGS-2017 sequence contains ITS1, 5.8S rRNA gene, ITS2". The stretch from base 471 to 1342 matches the Rfam family "Eukaryotic large subunit ribosomal RNA", at positions 1 to 890 of the family's 3401-position model. The record is from RNAcentral. Lineage: Eukaryota; Fungi; Ascomycota; Eurotiomycetes; Eurotiales; Trichocomaceae.
ACCUCCCACCCUUGUCUCUCUACACCUGUUGCUUUGGCGGGCCCACUGGGGCUCCCUGGUCGCCGGGGGACGCCUGUCCCCGGGCCCGCGCCCGCCGAAGCGCUUCGUGAACCCUGAUGAAGAAGGGCUGUCUGAGUACUAUGAAAAUUGUCAAAACUUUCAACAAUGGAUCUCUUGGUUCCGGCAUCGAUGAAGAACGCAGCGAAAUGCGAUAAGUAAUGUGAAUUGCAGAAUUCCGUGAAUCAUCGAAUCUUUGAACGCACAUUGCGCCCCCUGGCAUUCCGGGGGGCAUGCCUGUCCGAGCGUCAUUUCUGCCCUCAAGCACGGCUUGUGUGUUGGGGUGUGGUCCCCCCGGGGACCUGCCCGAAAGGCAGCGGCGACGUCCGUCUGGUCCUCGAGCGUAUGGGGCUCUGUCACUCGCUCGGGAGGGACCUGCGGGGGUUGGUCACCACCACAUUUUCUAUUAUGGUUGACCUCGGAUCAGGUAGGAGUUACCCGCUGAACUUAAGCAUAUCAAUAAGCGGAGGAAAAGAAACCAACCGGGAUUGCCUCAGUAACGGCGAGUGAAGCGGCAAGAGCUCAAAUUUGAAAUCUGGCCCUUUGAGGGUCCGAGUUGUAAUUUGCAGAGGAUGCUUCGGGUGCGGUCCCCAUCUAAGUGCCCUGGAACGGGCCGUCAUAGAGGGUGAGAAUCCCGUCUGGGAUGGGCGGCCGUGCCCGUGUGAAGCUCCUUCGACGAGUCGAGUUGUUUGGGAAUGCAGCUCUAAGUGGGUGGUAAAUUUCAUCUAAAGCUAAAUACUGGCCGGAGACCGAUAGCGCACAAGUAGAGUGAUCGAAAGAUGAAAAGCACUUUGAAAAGAGAGUUAAACAGCACGUGAAAUUGUUGAAAGGGAAGCGUUGUCCACCAGACUCGCCCGGGGGGGUUCAGCCGGCACGUGUGCCGGUGUACUCCUCUCCGGGCGGGCCAGCAUCGGUUUGGGCGGCUGGUGAAAGGCCCCGGGAAUGUAGCACCCUUCGGGGUGCCUUAUAGCCCGGGGUGCCAUACAGCCAGCCUGGACCGAGGCCCGCGCUUCGGCGAGGAUGCUGGCGUAAUGGUGGUCAACGGCCCGUCUUGAAACACGGACCAAGGAGUCUAACAUCUAUGCGAGUGUUCGGGUGUCAAACCCGUCCGCGCAGUGAAAGCGAACGGAGGUGGGAGCCUUUCGGGGCGCACCAUCGACCGAUCCUGAAGUCUUCGGAUGGAUUUGAGUAAGAGCAUAGCUGUUGGGACCCGAAAGAUGGUGAACUAUGCCUGAAUAGGGCGAAGCCAGAGGAAACUCUGGUGGAGGCUCGCAGCGGUUCUGAC